GAUUUCUGGUAAGGUGCGCCUGGCCCGCCACGGUUACGUGUGUGAGUGCUGGGACGCGCCUACCAUCCUUCUAGUGGCCCUGUGUAGCUCGUAAUGGGGUAAUGCAGGAGCGCUAGAUCUUUUACUUUGAAAAAAUUAGAGUGUUUAAAGCAGGCGUUUUGCUAUGAAUACAUUAGCAUGGAAUAAUAACUUAGGACUUUGGUUCUAUUUUGUUGGUUUCUAGAACUGGAGUAAUGAUUGAUAGGGAUAGUUGGGGGUGCUAGUAUUCAGUGGCCAGAGGUGAAAUUCUCGGAUUCACUGAAGACUAACUUCUGCGAAAGCAUU
This 324-nucleotide ribosomal RNA is filed under the name Allapsidae sp. RNAcentral describes it as "SSU rRNA". The stretch from base 111 to 324 matches the Rfam family "Eukaryotic small subunit ribosomal RNA", at positions 741 to 955 of the family's 1831-position model. The record is from RNAcentral. Lineage: Eukaryota; Cercozoa; Glissomonadida; Viridiraptoridae.